GUCUAUGGCCAUGCCACCCUGAACAAGCCCGAUCCUGUCUGAUCUCGGAAGCUUAGCAGGGUCGGGCCUGGUUAGUAUUUGGAUGGGAGACCACCUAGGAAGACCAGGUGCUGUAGGUG
RNAcentral lists this ribosomal RNA (119 nucleotides) under Pteropus alecto (black flying fox). Lineage: Eukaryota; Metazoa; Chordata; Mammalia; Chiroptera; Pteropodidae. The record is from RNAcentral.